This 1167-nucleotide long non-coding RNA is filed under the name Chrysolophus pictus (golden pheasant). RNAcentral describes it as "lncRNA (ENSCPIG00010000159.1)". The record is from RNAcentral. Lineage: Eukaryota; Metazoa; Chordata; Aves; Galliformes; Phasianidae.
GGUUUGGGGAUGGGAACGGAUUUGGGGGGAAAAAGGGCGAUUUUGGGGCUGCGGGAUUUGUUGGAGGGCGGGUUUGGGGUGAAAAGUGGGGAUUUGGGGUAAAAGAUGCAGAUUUGGGAGAUAAGGAAAUUUUGGGGUGAAAAGCGGGGAUUUGGGGGCUGGAAAAUGCGGGUUUUGGGGCGGCAAACGGAGAUUUUGGGGUGAAAAGCGGAGAUUUGGGGACAAAAAUGUGCGGAUUUGGGGCGGAAAAGGGGAGAUUUGGGCUCCAAAAGUGUCGAUUUUGGGGCGAAAAGUUGAGAUUUGGGGCCAAACGUUCGGAUUUUGGGGCGAAAAGUUGAGAUUUGGGGCAAAAAGUGGAGAUUCGGGGGCUGAAAAAUUCAGAUUUUGGGGAGAAAAGUGGAGAUUUUGGGCAAAAAAGUGCAGAUUUGGGGGCAAAAGUUGCGAUUUUGGGGCUGAAAAUUUCAGCUUUUGGGGUGGAAAAAGGAGAUUUUGGGGGAAAAAGUGCGGAUUUUGGAGCGGAAAUUUGCAGAUUUUUGUGCAAAAGUUCCGAUUUUGGGGUGAAAAGUUGCGAUUUUGGGGCAUAAAGUUGCGAUUUUUGAGCAAAAAGUUCCCAUUUGGGAGCAGAAGUUCAGAUUUUGGGGCAAAUCUUUGAGAUUUGGGGCAAAAAAAUCCGGGUUUUGGGGUGGAAAGUUGAAAUUUGGGGCUGAAAAAAUCAGAUUUUGGGGAUAAAUUGGGAGAUUUUUGGGGAAAAAGCUGCAAUUUUGGGGCUGAAAAUUCAGAUUUUGGGGAUAAAUUGGGAGAUUUUGGGGGGAAAAGUGCAGAUUUGGGGGAUGAAACGUUGCGAUUUUGGGGCAAAAAUGCAGAUUUUGGGGCACAAGUUCAGACUUUGGGGCAAAUAUUUGAGAUUUGGGGCAAAAAAAUCCAGAUUUUGGGGUGGAAAGUUGGGAUUUGGGGCAAAAAAGUGCAGAAUUUGGGGCAGAAGUUUGGAUUUGGGGGCAAAAAGUUGCGAUUUUGGGGCAAAAAUGCCGAUUUUGGGGUGAAAAGUUGGGAUUUGGGGGCAAAAAAAGGCAGAUUUGGGGGCUGAAACGUUUAGAUUUUGGAGCAAAUGUUUGAGAUUUGGGGCAAAAAAUUCCAGAUUUGGGGCAGAAAAGUUGGGAUUUGGGGAUU